CGGCGUGCCUAACACAUGCAAGUCGAGCGGGAAGCCUAAGGCCCCUUUGGGGUACGGCUUCCCAGCGGCAAACGGGUGAGUACACGUGGGUGACCUGCCCCGAAGAGGGGGAUAACCCUGGGAAACUGGGCUAAUACCCCAUGUGCUUCGUGGGGUUAGAGGACCACGAAGUAAAGGGUGUGGUUACCGAAAGGCGCCACGCCGCUUCGGGAGGGGCCCGCGGCCCAUCAGGUAGUUGGGGGGUAAUGGCCUACCAAGCCUAUGACGGGUAGCCGGCCUGAGAGGGUGUCCGGCACACGGGGACUGAGACACGGCCCCGACUCCUACGGGAGGCAGCAGUGGGGAAUCUUGGCAAUGGGCGAAAGCCUGACCCAGCGACGCCGCGUGGGGGAAGAAGCCCUGCGGGGUGUAACCCCUUUUCGGGGGGAAGAGGAAGGACAGUACCCCCGGAAUAAGGGCCGGCUAACACGUGCCAGCAGCCGCGGUAAAACGUAGGGCCCGAGCGUUACCCGGAUUCACUGGGCUAAAGCGCACGUAGGCGGCUCAGUAAGUCGGGCGUGAAAUCUCCCGGCUCAACCGGGGGGGCCGUCCGAUACUGCUGGGCUUGAGGGCGGGAGAGGGAGGUGGAAUUCCCGGUGAGCGGUGAAAUGCGUAGAUAUCGGGAGGAACACCAGUGGGGAAGCCGGCCUCCUGCCCGUCCCUGACGCUGAGGUGCGAAAGCCAGGGGAGCGAACGGGAUUAGAUACCCCGGUGUCCUGGCUGUAAACGGUGGGUGCUAGGUGUGGGCGGCGUUGACCCCGUCCGUGCCGAGGUAACCCGUUAAGCACCCCGCCUGGGGACUACGGCCGCAAGGCUAAAACUCAAAUAAUUGACGGGGAAGGGCG
RNAcentral lists this ribosomal RNA (884 nucleotides) under uncultured Chloroflexales bacterium. RNAcentral's name for it is "bacterial SSU rRNA". It matches the Rfam family "Bacterial small subunit ribosomal RNA", at positions 40 to 925 of the family's 1533-position model. The record is from RNAcentral. Lineage: Bacteria; Bacillati; Chloroflexota; Chloroflexia; Chloroflexales.